UCGGGAGGAGCCAGCCGGGACGGCGACGGGUUUUGGCCCCGUCAUGACGUGGUUCGACUCCACGCUCCCGAACCA
RNAcentral lists this transfer RNA (75 nucleotides) under Candidatus Elarobacter sp. RNAcentral's name for it is "tRNA-Gln". Lineage: Bacteria; Bacillati; Vulcanimicrobiota; Vulcanimicrobiia; Vulcanimicrobiales; Vulcanimicrobiaceae. The record is from RNAcentral. RNAcentral also lists the same sequence under 1 other name.